UUAAGUGUUGUGAUUAAUUUAGAAAGUCUAAAGAAAUCAUAAAGCGAUAAAGAUCGUUUUGGGCUUAAAGAAACGUUCGGGUUUAAUUGGGCACAUUGGGCCUAAACCCAUUGGGCUUUUAUUCAAGCAUUGGAUGACUUGAAAUAUAUAAAAGUCCAAAGCCCAAAUCCAACACAAAGAGGCCGGCCACUUUAAGUGGAAAGGGAGAGAUAUUUAGUCAAGUGGUUGACUAGGUUUCUUUUUGUCUAUAUAAGGAACUUUAUAGAGAUAUUGUUCAUUAGGGUUUUUGAAGUGUUAAAACAACAAAGAGGCAAAAGAAAAAUAGCUCUCUAACACUACAAAGGCCGGCCACCUUAGGGGUGUUUUUACUAACACAUCUUUCACCCUUUUGGUAAUUCCUUCAUCCUUCUCACUACACUAGUGGGUGAGGAUCUUUAGAGGUUUCCUACUUUGGAAACUUGAA
Molecule: long non-coding RNA, 463 nt
Filed under: Malus domestica (apple)
Lineage: Eukaryota; Viridiplantae; Streptophyta; Magnoliopsida; Rosales; Rosaceae
Description: long non-coding RNA (MDOM_LNC020668)
Source: RNAcentral